UCUCCGUUGGUGAACCAGCGGAGGGAUCAUUACCGAGUUGUGCAUCUCCCAAACCUCUGUGAGCUAACCACACGUUGCUUCGGCGGAUCGCCCCGGUGCCGUAGCCCCCCAGGGCGGUGGCUUCCCGGAUACCAAGGCACCUGCCGAGGGACCCAAACACUCUCUUCGCCGCCGGCGGAAUAUACGCCAGAGUGAUUUACAAAAUGAAACAAAACUUUCAACAACGGAUCUCUUGGCUCUG
RNAcentral lists this unclassified non-coding RNA (241 nucleotides) under plant metagenome. Its description in RNAcentral is "partial contains small subunit ribosomal RNA, internal transcribed spacer 1, and 5.8S ribosomal RNA". The record is from RNAcentral.